UAUGUCCGUUGCUUCCGCUUCUGUUCCGUUUUUGCAAUUCUGCAUUCCCUCUUUUCAUCGUCAUGCACCGCUAAGUAGAGAUUCUUCUGUUCCCAUGGACAAGAUCAAGUUCCCCAAGAACUUUACCCUCUUCAAGGAGAACAACAAGGAGACUUUGAUAGCUUUUCGGGCUAAUAAGUCUAUCACUAAGAUCACUAGAGAGGUCUUCCAUGGCAUCAUUGCUACCCCUCUAUCGUAUGUCCGACCUCAAUCUCGUACUCCUACACCCUCUAUGGCCUUGGCGCCAGUCUCAGGAGGCUCUCACUUUGCUCCACCCAAAAUGGGCUCUUCUGACCCUAUCAAGGUUAGCAAAUCAGAACGAGAAGGAAGUCUAAAAAGAGGUGUUAACCUUCUCGUUCAGAACGCUUCUCCUCCUCCCUCGAUUGAAGGAAAUAUCAUCAUCGAGGGUCGCCCCACAAAGCAGGCUAGGACUUUUACCCCUGCAAAGGUCGACAUCCCUCUACCACUGGUAAAGGAAAGAAGGCUAUGGAUGCCCCUAUCAAUUUGUCCUCUGCCUCAAAUAGCAGCGAUUUGGGUGCUUGCAAGAUCAAUACGGACUCCACUGCUGCCUCUGUAACCAAGCUGAUGUGUUACAAGGUUUUUGGUGGGGUGCUAGACAUUUCUGAUCCUCAUUUCUUAGGGAUUGUUUGCAAUUUAGCUCGUUGCACAAAGUAGCAGCUUGCUUGCAGCUCAAGCUACCUGGAGACCCUAGGUCAUAAUCUAUAGGAGAUGCUUCUCAUGUCCUUAGGAACUUUUAUGGAGAUCGAUGCUCGAAAUUGAUCUCUUUAAAGCUCCAUAGAUUACAACAUCGAGGAAGCAUGGUGAGACGAGAAUUUGGUUGCCAUUGUAGUGAAUUGGAAGCAUAUCAUUCAUUUUAAAGGGAAGGUCACUGAUAUCACCAGGCAGCUAGGCGAGCAGAGGGAAGAGGCCAUCCGGUUAUCUUAGCGGGCUUCUGUUGCCAAAAUCCAGUGAGAUGAGGCCCUCGCCCAAUUGUCCUCUCUAGAAGAGAUUCGUCAACAACGUGAUGAGGCACUAGCUCAUGUUAUUGUACGUCAGUAAGAUUUCAACAAGAAAAUUGAAGAGAUGAAGGGUUUGGCUCUCAAUGUGGAGACCUCCCAACUUCAGUAACAAAAACUUCAAGAGGUCAUUACUUUGGAGGGCAGAUGUGCUUCUUUGCUGGAAGACGCUAAGACUGCUAAGGAUAGAGUUAAUCAAGCCUAUGAAGAGCGGGUCCAAAAGUUCAAGAGUUCUGAUGAGCUGAAAGAGAAAAUUUAUGAGGAAGCUUUUUGCAUGUUUGCUAUGGGCUAUAACUAAGGCCUCAAAGUUGCUUGAGAUGCCCCUACUGUUCCCUUGGCUAAACUGCAAGCUCCUGAAUUCGAUUCUGAUGGUGAAGAAGUGCAGCUCAUGAAGGACGAUAAUCCCAUUCCAAAGGCUCCUCCUGCUCUGCCUCCUGCUGAGCCUUCAGCCGACCCUUCUAGGUCUCCUGUAAAUGACGACCGAGUUAAAUCUGCUCCUCCCUCCCCUACUACUUUUGUAACUAAUUCAGUUAAUGUAAUUAAGCCUUGAAAUUCUUAAUAUAAAGCUUCAAUUUUCUGUAUCA
This is an RNA transcript of Manihot esculenta (cassava), 1639 nucleotides long. RefSeq lists it as uncharacterized. Lineage: Eukaryota; Viridiplantae; Streptophyta; Magnoliopsida; Malpighiales; Euphorbiaceae. The record is from RefSeq and is a predicted model, not a curated record. The transcript is spliced from 3 exons.